UGGGGAAUUUUGGACAAUGGGCGCAAGCCUGAUCCAGCCAUGCUGCGUGCGGGAAGAAGGCCUUCGGGUUGUAAACCGCUUUUGUCAGGGAAGAAACGCUCUGGGCUAAUACCCUGGGGUAAUGACGGUACCUGAAGAAUAAGCACCGGCUAACUACGUGCCAGCAGCCGCGGUAAUACGUAGGGUGCAAGCGUUAAUCGGAAUUACUGGGCGUAAAGCGUGCGCAGGCGGUUAUGCAAGACAGAUGUGAAAUCCCCGGGCUCAACCUGGGAACUGCAUUUGUGACUGUAUAGCUAGAGUACGGUAGAGGGGGAUGGAAUUCCGCGUGUAGCAGUGAAAUGCGUAGAUAUGCGGAGGAACACCGAUGGCGAAGGCAAUCCCCUGGACCUGUACUGACGCUCAUGCACGAAAGCGUGGGGAGCAAACAGGAUUAGAUACCCAUGUAGUCCCUGAGCGGGCUGGCAAGGCGCAU
This 472-nucleotide ribosomal RNA is filed under the name uncultured bacterium. Its description in RNAcentral is "bacterial SSU rRNA". It matches the Rfam family "Bacterial small subunit ribosomal RNA", at positions 355 to 825 of the family's 1533-position model. The record is from RNAcentral.